Molecule: long non-coding RNA, 4897 nt
Filed under: Sus scrofa (pig)
Lineage: Eukaryota; Metazoa; Chordata; Mammalia; Artiodactyla; Suidae
Description: lncRNA (ENSSSCG00000061486.1)
Source: RNAcentral
UAAUGUAAUUGCAUAUGUAGCAAAAAAUAAUCAGAUUAACAAAUUCUUAACAGUAAACAAGUCCAGCUUGUUAUAUCCUUACUAAGCAAAUUUCCACAGAUUUGUGAGAUGCUUGAUGUAAAUUUAUAAUUGCCAUGAUAACAAAGUGGGACUAGCCCACUAAGCCAUUCAGGCCAUGAAGAGGUCAUUUUUAAUGAAAAGUGCCAACACAUCCGACAAGUGAGCUCUCAGGCUAACAUGCUAUACAUUUUAGAUUGAUCCUCUCUUAAUGAACUCUCAUAAACCUAUGGGAUUAUCCCCAUAAAUGAUUCACACUGCUGAAGCAAGAGAGAGAGGACAACUGUUCAACAGUCAGGCUGACAAGGCAUGAUGUAAACUUUCCUGGCUUCCACUUAUUGUUUAAAAAGAGUAUGUGUAUUACCUAGAGAGUUAUAUGAUAUUCUUUUUUCUUAUAAACCACUAGUUGAAGCAAUUUUUAAAAAAAAGCAAAGCAAACAAUUCAUGAUUCAAAAUAGCAUGGACAUAAUUCUCAUUACUGCUAGUGAAUAAAAUUAAUGUCAAUAAUAGAAACAGCUCUUCUUUUAUGUUAAAGUAAUUUUGUUGGCAGUACAUUGCACAUUGUUGGUCGAAUGUGAGAUCUUAUUUUUCCCAUUAUCUUAUAUCCACUCUACUUGAUGAUUUGUUACAUUCAAUUUGAAGGAAAUAAAAUCACACUUAAUUUGAGGCAUGUUAACAUUCACCAGUGCUAACUGCGCAUGUUUUUCUUCCUGCCAAUGGCAUAAAGGAUACUGGGGCUGCCAGGUAGGCACCCUCUCUAUGCUCUCUCAGCACUUACCACCUAACAAAGAAAAAGCAGAGGGAAAAAAAUCCCAGUGAUUGACAGCAUCGCAGUGUGUUAUAAUAAAGAUAUGCACCAUACAAUGAGAGAACAGAGGAGAAGCAUCUAAAUCAGGGCCUGAGAAGGGCUUAGGGAUGGGAAAGUUCCAAGAAGUCUUCCUGGAGGAGGAGAUGCCAAGCUGAAUUGAGGUUCCCAAGGGAAUAAAGAGUUGGGAAGAGCGUAUUAGUUUCCUAGAGUUGUCAUAACAAAAUACUGCCAACUGGGUGGCUUAAAACAGUAAGAAUUUAUUCUCUGCCUGUUCUGUAGGCUAGAAUCUGAGAUCAGGGUGUCAUCAGGGUUGGUUCCUUCCAGUGGCUCUCAGGGAGAAUCUGUUCCAUGUCCCUCUCCUAGCUUCUGGCAGUUGCCAACAAUCCUUGGGCAUAAAUACAUCACUCCAAUCUCUGCUCUUCUUUUUGUGGGACCCUCUCCCCUGUAUUUGUGUCUAUGUCCAUAUUUCCCUCUUCUUAUGACACCAGUCAGGUUCUAGGUGGACCUGAUGUCUAGGGGACAGUAUUCGACUAAUGCAGAUGUCAUUCCAGAAACAGGAAGCAGCAUGGAUAAAGCCACGUAGAGGCCUUGACACGUUUGAGCAACCAUGGAUGCUUGUCAAUGGUUGGACUGAAAGGUUCUGGGAAUCCUAACAAGUUAUAAAGCUUCAGAGGUAACAGGAGCCUCAUCACAAAGAGUCUUGUGUGCCAAGACUUGGGAAUUUGAAUUUCCUCAUGAAAUGUGUGGGUGUCACUGAAGGAUUUUCAUUCUGGAAGUGACAUGACCAUAUUUGUGUUUUAGAAAAAUCUCUCUGGCAGCUCUAUGGAGAAUUCCAGAAGGUACAGAUUGGAGGCAGAGAGUUUAUAUAGCAAGUCCUUGAAAUAAUUCUGGUGAGAAAUGAUAAGUGCCUAUAUUACAUCAGCAGUAGGGAGACUGCUGAUGAGUGGUGGUCAGUAGAGGAGAAGAGAGACACAAGGGUGGCUUUGAAAUUUUUGGCUUGUAUGGGGGGAUGGAGGUGAUAUUCAUUGAGGUAAUUAAGAAGGAGGAACAAGCUUAGAGAUAAAUUUGGAUGAGUUUGUGGACAUAUUUCAUUUGAGGUACCAGUAACACUUCUAGGUGGAGAGCUGCUGUUUUGGAGAUCAGUAGGCAGUUCUGGCUUGAGAUUUGAGACUCAUGAACAUAUAACUUACUGUGUCCCUCAAGUUGAGUGUAAUAAAGUGAGAAGAGCAGAAACCUAUGUUUAGGAAAUCAACUGAGGAAAAAAGAACCAAGUAAUUCUUUGAGAAGGAGAUUUCUAUAGAAAAGGGGGGGGGGGCAGUGAGAGCAAAUCACAGAGAAGAGAGCUUCCAGAAGGACCAAGUUCUCAGGGGGCCAAAUGCUACUGGGAAGUCAGCAAAAAUAAGGAAACACAUUUGUUUUGGAAAAAUCCAGUCAUUGGUGGCUUUAGAAAGGACAGUUUCAGUCAAAUGACAGGAAUGACAGAGGAAGGCAUAAGAGGCUGGUAGAUUUGGGAGUGACUGUGCAGGAAGAGGGGCGUGUAGGGAUUGUGGACUGCCUUUUCAAGAAGCCGGAUUGUGAGGACAUCAGAGAUCUAUUAGCAUCAAUAGCUCCAUGGGGUCAGGGAAGAGUUUUUCCCUGACGAUGGAGAUUUAAGCAUGCUGUGAUCCAACUCAAGUGGAAAAAUAUGAGUUCAAGAGAGUGGCCUUGGGGCAGAGGUGGAAAUUUAUCUCUUCCAAUAAAGGAGGCUAUGAGGACACAUUCUUAAGGCAGUUGAGGGGUUUCUCACAGUUGCUAUUGUGGACAUCUUGUUAAUAUGAAUAAAAACAUUUCCUUCAUUCUCCAUGCAAGGGGCAUUUUUUGCUGGCUACCCUUCCCGAAUCCAUUGCCUUUCCUUUUACAACAACGUGCCCAUAUCUUCUUGGGGAAUUGAUCUCUUGCUGAGCGUGCAGCCUCAGAACUAUCAGACCAGGUGUCCUGUCCUCCCCUAGUCAAGGUUCUAUUGUGCCUCUCUCCUAGGUCUUUGAAUCCAGAGUCUUUAACUGCUAUCAGGGUUUGGGGGAUGAGUGGAGAUGAUUAGCUUAUCCCAGUGACACUUCUUUACCAUGCCCUGAUUUCUACCCUCCUCUAAACUUGCUUCUGUGGCCUCCUCUUCAACUCUGACCACCCCCUGUAUCCAUGGAUAUGGUGCCAAAGACUGGAACCAUGUGGCUUGGGCUCAAAUCCAGUUUGGCCACAUUCUACUUGCAUGAUCUGGAGCAAGUUACCACUUUAUUUCUCUGUGCCUUCGCUUCUACCUCAGUGGAACCAAUGAUGGUGCCUACCUACAAGGUUCUCUGGGAAUUAAUGAGUAUAAUGCUCAGAAUGGUGCCUACUCAAAGUACUCUAAGUGUUAUUAUUCCAAUAAAUUCCCCUUCUUCGCAAGUUAGCCAGGAACAUGGGUUGCUAUGUGCCACCAAAGAAUCCUAAUGGAUAACUUCUUCAUUCCAAAUGAGUAACAUUUUAUUAUACUGUGCUUGAAAAUCUAAAUGUAGUGAAUACUUUAAUAGGGAUUGACCAUUUACAAUGGUUUGGAGAGAGAAAGAGAAUUUGCAUAUGUUACUAUAGUUGUGGCAAAUAGAUGAAAGCCCUCAUUUAAGUAUUGAAUUAAGUUAAUAAGAGAUAUUAAUAGCAUUUUGUACAAAAUUUUGGAGAACUAAAUAUGAGAGUGCUUUUAAAAAAUUAUUUUGACAUGGGGCUAUUGAUAGAAAUGAGUUGGAUACAUAGUUCUUUUCUUUCUAAGUUCAUAAUAUAAUGGCAAAUGUAAUGAUACAACAAUCAGAUUUGGAGGCUCUUGUCACUUAUGGUCCCUAUAAGAAGGUAAUAUUUCUCACCAAGUCUCAAUUUCCUUAUGCAGAAAAGGCUCACGGCUGUCUGACAUUGAGUUCUGGGGCAGCCUGUUACACAGCAAUAUUGCAGCAAAAGGUAACUGAUAAAGUGGGUUAUAAAGCUAUGGGAUUAGGUAAGAUCCCCUUUUAAAGAAAAACUGGGGCAGUGAAAAAGGCCAAGGAAUAAGUCUAACAAAGGGCGGUUGGCCUAAGGAGAAAAAGCUACCUACCUACCCAAGGUGAAUUGGACAGAAAUACAGAAGAAAACGAAUGGACUGGGGGUCAUAGAAGCUAAGAGAGGCACACGUUUCAAAGAAGAAAGCUUCACAUGCUAAACAUGGCCAAGAGGUCAACUAAGAUGAAGGCAGGAAGUCUUCUGGAUUCAUCCACAUCAACGGCACUAGUGAGUGCUGCGUGAGGCUGGCUGGAAAGCAGUGAUGAAGGCUGGGCAUUCUGACUCAAAUAAUGAACAACCAGUGGCAAGAAAUACAUCUAGAGGCCUCAGACACCCAAGGAUAGAGGUGUUUGUAAUGACUAAGGCCCAGCAGGUGGCCCAGCAGCCAGCCCAGCAAUUUCCUUUUCGCAGGCAAGUAGUCUGAAGGUCUGCAUUGUGGGCUGCCUCUCCAAGAUCCCAUGCCUAAAGGGGAAAAGCCAAGAUGUGAUAGGUGGAGUGAUACUGGGCAGGCAGCCAGGUAGAGCAACAUCUGGGUCAGCGUGACAAAGCACAGUGGUUUGGGAGUAGGACACAGGUGAGGCUGUUUUCCAGGGGGGGUUCCUGGCCCCUCCCCUGGCUGGCCCAGCGUGUGGAUGGCAGACUGCCCUUGGGGAUAGAUGUUCUGCUCUUGCAGGUCUCCCAAGCCCUCCCCUGGGAUUAACUUGCCUCCCACCUAGAUAUAGGCCCCAUGAGGGCAGAAUCUGCCACUUUUCCCAGGAGGUUUAGCCCACAAAUAGAGGAAACAGCGGCCACACCUGUCACCAUUUGGACUGGGUUCUAAAAUUCCCACACCAUUUUGAGAAUUCAGCUGUGACCUCGAAAGUCACUGUGAUGAAGCAUGGACUCUUCUGAAGUCACACCACUCCCCAACUUUAGUGGUUCUAGGAGAAAAAUUCUUUCUUUGGGCUGAAGGCCCUUCCCAAAAAUGUGUGAGAAGCUCAUGAAUGAACUGCU